UACGGAGGGGGCAAGCGUUGUUCGGAUUUACUGGGCGUAAAGGGUGUGUAGGCGGCUGGAUAAGUCUGGCGUGAAAUCUUCACCGCUUAACGGGAAGGGGUCGCUGGAAACUGUUCAGCUUGAGUAUGGUAGAGGCAAGCGGAAUUCCUGGUGUAGCGGUGGAAUGUGUAGAUAUCAGGAAGAACACCGGUGGCGAAGGCGGCUUGCUGGGCCAUCACUGACGCUGAGACACGAAAGCGUGGGGAGCAAACGGGAUUAGAUACCCCGGUAGUCCACGCUGUAAACGGUGCGCACUAGGUGUGGGGGGUAUCGACUCCUCCCGUGCCGACGUUAACACAUUAAGUGCGCCGCCUGGGGAGUACGGCCGCAAGGUUGAA
RNAcentral lists this ribosomal RNA (377 nucleotides) under uncultured bacterium. RNAcentral describes it as "bacterial SSU rRNA". It matches the Rfam family "Bacterial small subunit ribosomal RNA", at positions 524 to 898 of the family's 1533-position model. The record is from RNAcentral.